GGGGGUAUAACUCAGUUGGUAGAGUGCAUGCUGAGCAUGCACGAGGUACUUGGUUCAAUUCCCAGUACCUCCA
Molecule: transfer RNA, 73 nt
Organism: Camelus ferus (Wild Bactrian camel)
Lineage: Eukaryota; Metazoa; Chordata; Mammalia; Artiodactyla; Camelidae
Rfam family: tRNA
About the family: Transfer RNA (tRNA) molecules are approximately 80 nucleotides in length. Their secondary structure includes four short double-helical elements and three loops (D, anti-codon, and T loops). Further hydrogen bonds mediate the characteristic L-shaped molecular structure. tRNAs have two regions of fundamental functional importance: the anti-codon, which is responsible for specific mRNA codon recognition, and the 3' end, to which the tRNAs corresponding amino acid is attached (by aminoacyl-tRNA synthetases). tRNAs cope with the degeneracy of the genetic code in two manners: having more than one tRNA (with a specific anti-codon) for a particular amino acid; and 'wobble' base-pairing, i.e. permitting non-standard base-pairing at the 3rd anti-codon position.
Source: Rfam